Molecule: ribosomal RNA, 496 nt
Filed under: uncultured bacterium
Lineage: Bacteria
Description: partial 16S ribosomal RNA
Rfam family: Bacterial small subunit ribosomal RNA
Source: RNAcentral
AUGAACGCUGGCGGCGUGCCUAAUCCAUGCCAGUCGAGUGAACGGACGAGAAGCUUGCUUCUCUGAUGUUAGCGGCGGACGGGUGAGUAACACGUGGAUAACCUACCUAUAAGACUGGGAUAACUUCGGGAAACCGGAGCUAAUACCGGAUAAUAUUUUGAACCGCAUGGUUCAAAAGUGAAAGACGGUCUUGCUGUCACUUAUAGAUGGAUCCGCGCUGCAUUAGCUAGUUGGUAAGGUAACGGCUUACCAAGGCAACGAUGCAUAGCCGACCUGAGAGGGUGAUCGGCCACACUGGAACUGAGACACGGUCCAGACUCCUACGGGAGGCAGCAGUAGGGAAUCUUCCGCAAUGGGCGAAAGCCUGACGGAGCAACGCCGCGUGAGUGAUGAAGGUCUUCGGAUCGUAAAACUCUGUUAUUAGGGAAGAACAUAUGUGUAAGUAACUGUGCACAUCUUGACGGUACCUAAUCAGAAAGCCACGGCUAACUACGUG